UUUGGGUUUCAAUUCACUACAGCAGAAGCACCAUUAUUUUGCCUUUUUCAGUUAGAUGCCUUUGGAUUGUUUGGCUUUUGGUAGAUGCAGAGUAUAGAUUAAGUAUUCCAUAAAAUUCACCACAUGAGUAUACUACUUAAUAGCCAAUUUUCGUGGUCAAAUUCAGCCCUGGAUGCAAAUGGACAUCAUGAUUCUGUUAUGCACCGAGGUCGGUGGUCGAAUUCUCGAUUGGUGUGGAACACCAUGGACAGGGCAAAAUCAGGUCCAAUUUUUUUUGAAUAGCCUAUUGUCUUCACUAGACGAUUUUUCUUUUCUUCUUUGACCCAGUUGAUUGUAUGGCGCUGAAAUAUAAAUAUUUGGUUGCUCGUCCUCCCCUUUGGAAAUUCAUACCAUCCCUGGAAAUGUUUGAUUGACCAUCUUCUUCUUAUUGAUCCAUAAAAACUUGACAUUUUUGUUGUAAAAACAUACCUGUAUAUAUGUUGAUAGUCUAGUAAGAAAUUGUUCUGUCUGGGUUUGUGCAUCUUAAAAAAUAUAUCAUCUAUUGCUUUUAUCCUUGAACUAUUGCUAUGGCGAUGAAUGCCCAUGCGUACCUUUGUUGUCACUUUUUAGGGUGUGCGUAGUUUGUUAAUUUAGGUAAGUACAGGAUAUCCUUACUCAUACAAAAUGCCCAAUUGUUGUUCUUGUAAAUAUAGGCGUGCCUACCAUUGCCCCAUCGGCACCAUCACCCAACAGAAAAGGGCCCUAGCCUCUUCUUAUGACAAGAAAAAUAGGUGUUGUUACCUGUUUGCAUCUGAGAUUGCAUAAUAUUGGAGAACAUGCUUAAUUGGCCUGUGCAUUUGGCAGAUAUAGUACUGUUUGUUCUGCUACUAGCAUCCUAUACUGUUUAGUUGGUAUUUGGUAUUAUAUAUUUUUCUUCUAGCCUAGAAUUAUUUAUUUUAGAUCUUGUUGCAUGAUGUCUCAUGUAUAUGACUAGUACUACUAUUUCUACAUGCUUAUAUGUUUGUGCAUUGACUAGCUUAGCUAGCACAGUAGUGUUCUGUUGAAAUUUGAGGCAAAUCUUUGUUCAUAAGUGUCUUUGUUCCCAUGCAGUGUGCUUUGAAACGUAGGGAGAAUCUUGUGGAGGAGUAGGGCGCAUCGGACAUUGUCUCGCUUGUGCUGCUGUGGUAAAAAUAGAGCACCACUCUUACUUGAUGUGCAUAUGUUAAUACGGCAAAAUGAUUGAGAUCUGUUUGAC
This 1234-nucleotide long non-coding RNA is filed under the name Triticum aestivum (bread wheat). Its description in RNAcentral is "long non-coding RNA (TAES_LNC010623)". Lineage: Eukaryota; Viridiplantae; Streptophyta; Magnoliopsida; Poales; Poaceae. The record is from RNAcentral.